RNAcentral lists this ribosomal RNA (468 nucleotides) under uncultured bacterium. RNAcentral's name for it is "partial 16S ribosomal RNA". It matches the Rfam family "Bacterial small subunit ribosomal RNA", at positions 28 to 507 of the family's 1533-position model. The record is from RNAcentral.
GACGAACGCUGGCGGCGUGCUUAACACAUGCAAGUCGAACGGAAAGGCCCUGCUUUUGUGGCGUGCUCGUGUGGCGAACGGGUGAGUAACACGUGAGUAACCUGCCCUUGACUUUGUGAUAACUUCACGAAACUGGGGCUCUUACCGGAUAUGAGCUCCUGCUGCAUGGUGUUGGUUGGAAAGUUUCGGCGGUUGGGGAUGGACUCGCGGCUUAUCAGCUUGUUGGUGUGGUAGUGGCUUACCAAGGCUUUGACGGCUAGCCGGCCUGAGAGGGUGACCGGGGUCAAGGGGACUGAGAGAGGGAGCAGACGGGUACGGGAGGCAGUAGGGGGGAGUCUGACGGAGUGGGCGGAAGCGAGAGGAAGAGACGUCGCGAGCGGGAAGAUGGGCUUCGGGUGGAAAACCGAUGUGGAAGGAGACGAGGAGGGAUUGACGGUAAUGGGUAAAGAAGCAACGGCUAACUACGUG